RNAcentral lists this non-coding RNA (29 nucleotides) under Mus musculus (house mouse). The record is from RNAcentral. Lineage: Eukaryota; Metazoa; Chordata; Mammalia; Rodentia; Muridae.
CACGAUAGUGGCUCCAAGGAGUGGGCAGA